GAUGAACGCUGGCGGCGUGCCUAAUACAUGCAAGUCGAGCGAACAGACGAGGAGCUUGCUCCUCUGACGUUAGCGGCGGACGGGUGAGUAACACGUGGAUAACCUACCUAUAAGACUGGGAUAACUUCGGGAAACCGGAGCUAAUACCGGAUAAUAUAUUGAACCGCAUGGUUCAAUAGUGAAAGACGGUUUUGCUGUCACUUAUAGAUGGAUCCGCGCCGCAUUAGCUAGUUGGUAAGGUAACGGCUUACCAAGGCAACGAUGCGUAGCCGACCUGAGAGGGUGAUCGGCCACACUGGAACUGAGACACGGUCCAGACUCCUACGGGAGGCAGCAGAAGGGAAUCUUCCGCAAUAGGCGAAAGCCUGACGGAGCAACGCCGCGUGAGUGAUGAAGGUCUUCGGAUCGUAAAACUCUGUUAUUAGGGAAGAACAAAUGUGUAAGUAACUAUGCACGUCUUGACGGUACCUAAUCAGAAAGCCACGGCUAACUACGUG
This 497-nucleotide ribosomal RNA is filed under the name uncultured bacterium. RNAcentral describes it as "partial 16S ribosomal RNA". It matches the Rfam family "Bacterial small subunit ribosomal RNA", at positions 28 to 507 of the family's 1533-position model. The record is from RNAcentral.